AUGCAGGGCAUCUCACCAACUUCGAAGUUCUUGACAUCUUACGAAGUAGAGGUGCAAAAACUGAACCCAUGGGAUGUUUGGGGGGCUGUUGCUGCAUCAGAGUGCAAGGUAUACGAGUACCUCCUAAAAACUCCUGCUUGCAACCAAACAAGGGAAUCCGUUACUGAAUUUGCAAACAGAUGUGAGGGUUUCAAGCUUACCGAUGCUGACAAGCAAAAUAUUAUCAAUUGGAGGCCAACCUCAGUUGCUGAUGUUUAUGCGAUGGUAGAGGAGUGUGGGAAAAGAUUCAGUAAGGAUGAGCAAGGAGGGGCACAUAAUGAAGAGGAACGUGCCAAGGAACUAUUGGGUCUUGUAAAUGAGGUUUUUCCACGACCACCCAUUAAGCAAGAGGAUGAACUGGAGGUGGAUAUGAAGGACAUCUGA
RNAcentral lists this ribosomal RNA (423 nucleotides) under Triticum aestivum (bread wheat). Its description in RNAcentral is "partial small subunit ribosomal RNA". The record is from RNAcentral. Lineage: Eukaryota; Viridiplantae; Streptophyta; Magnoliopsida; Poales; Poaceae.